RNAcentral lists this ribosomal RNA (433 nucleotides) under uncultured bacterium. Its description in RNAcentral is "partial 16S ribosomal RNA". It matches the Rfam family "Bacterial small subunit ribosomal RNA", at positions 29 to 507 of the family's 1533-position model. The record is from RNAcentral.
AACGAACGCUGGCGGCAUGCCUAACACAUGCAAGUCGAACGAGACCUUCGGGUCUAGUGGCGCACGGGUGCGUAACGCGUGGGAACCUGCCUUUAGGUUCGGAAUAACUCAGAGAAAUUUGAGCUAAUACCGGAUGAUGUCUUCGGACCAAAGAUUUAUCGCCUUUAGAUGGGCCUGCGUUGGAUUAGCUAGUUGGUGGGGUAAAGGCCUACCAAGGCGACGAUCCAUAGCUGGUCUGAGAGGAUGAUCAGCCACACUGGGACUGAGACACGGCCCAGACUCCUACGGGAGGCAGCAGUGGGGAAUAUUGGACAAUGGGCGAAAGCCUGAUCCAGCAAUGCCGCGUGAGUGAUGAAGGCCUUAGGGUUGUAAAGCUCUUUUACCCGAGAUGAUAAUGACAGUAUCGGGAGAAUAAGCUCCGGCUAACUCCGUG